This is a long non-coding RNA of Etheostoma cragini (Arkansas darter), 207 nucleotides long. RefSeq lists it as uncharacterized. The record is from RefSeq and is a predicted model, not a curated record. NCBI's taxonomy places the organism in Eukaryota, Metazoa, Chordata, Actinopteri, Perciformes, Percidae. The transcript has 3 exons.
GGGGUUUGGAGCUUUUCGAUGUUUGUCUUGUUGCCUAACUACGUCACUUCAUAACGUUCCCAUGACAACAGAGGGAAAUGACUGCUCUUGUGUGAAAUUAACGCAACAUUUUUCAACUUUCUGUUAAGAUAUGUGUGACUGUUUUGCAACAGAAAUACACAUUAUUUAGAGCGGAAAUCAGCAAUUUAUGUGGCGAAAUGCGGCGUA